CUUACUACGUGAGCUACUGGGGAGAAAAUGUGGCUGGUAGUAAGUUGUGCAGUGGGCCAGGUGGAAAUCAGGAGGCAGAAAUCAUCCUUGACACAAAGGGGAAGCAAUCUGGGAACCACUGGAUUCAGCACUUCAACCUGGAGAAAGUGAUUCUAGAUGACCUGGUGAAUCUAUUUAAGCCAAAAGCAAAAUGUCUGUCAACCUAAGUCAACAACCACUUUUCAUCCAGUGGGUCAAACUUUUCAUCUAAAGCUGUACUUUACCAUUCCCAUAAUGAUGCUCCUAGAUGGGAGCAGAAGACCAGUUUCUCGUUGUCCUUGUGGCAGCAGUAGAUGUUUUGGGAAGGUGCACAAUAACAGGACAUACGUGGAGGGAUCCUUUCCCAGGCAGUGAAUCAGAGAAAAAAAAAGCUUGCCAGAGAGGAAUGGAAGAUGAUUUGGAAGCAUGCUAAUGAGCCGGGGGAAAGAUGGAAUUCCCACAUUUUUACUCGUAACUACCUUCACCAGCUGCGAAGUUCAUAACAUCAGACCAUUCAGAGCUUAGCAGGACAGAUAAGAACUCAGAUGAAGUUUCCAUACAUCACCACACAAUGGGGAGGCAAGCUUAGUCAUGAGCAUUCUUCCAGUGUUUUUUCCUUCCUUCCAUACACCGAGAAAAAUAGAUAUUUUCUCUCAAAAUUGCUAAGGAAUGAUUUAUCUAGUAGCUCAUCGUAGUCCUACAGCCUUGAACAUGUGCCUGUCUGCUCCAGUCUCUGCAUAUCGCAAUUACCCGGUGUCUGCUCAUAUUGUCUUAAGUCAAGGGAAGCCUUCAUUGAAGACAGUAAGUGCUCACUGAAGACAUUAACUGCUGCUAUCUGCUUUGGGCACCCAGAUUCCCAAAAGUGAUAUUCCUGUGUGUUGUCUGGGCUUGAGCUGCCUUGAGGAUGCUAUUGAACCUCCAUUGGGCUUUUAUCAGAAAAUAGCUACUUACCCUCUGAACUGCAACACCCCCGAAAGGCAAUGAAGGAACUGCAAAGUGGGAUUGAUGUGUUUGUUGACAGUCAAUAAUGACAACAUUUUGAACUGAGUUUAAUUAUGGCAAUUUUUGUGCAGGAAAGGUGCAGGUUGUGUUCACCAAGUCUAGUGGUUUUAUUUCGACACACUGCAGCACUGAAACAUGCUAAUGUUCCAUUGUCAAGCAGCCGGUAAAAAAAUAAAUAAAAAAAAAAAGCUGAUAAUUUACAACUGGUCUCUAUGGUAAGAUGAUAGAAAACGUGAAUUACAUAAAUUAAGGACAAUUAAUCCAUUGUAAGAAUGAUUUAGGAGUAACUGCAACUUUCUUUGGCCAUGAGAUUAGCUGUGUGAGUACUGUCUUGUCUACCAGAUUAAUGCUUUAAUGCUUUAAAAGUAUAUGAAUGAAAUCAUAAAUAAAAUCAGAAUUUUAAAUAAAUGGUGGCUUCCA
Molecule: non-coding RNA, 1440 nt
Organism: Anas platyrhynchos (mallard)
Lineage: Eukaryota; Metazoa; Chordata; Aves; Anseriformes; Anatidae
Source: RefSeq, a predicted model, not a curated record